UACGUAGGGUGCGAGCGUUGUCCGGAAUUAUUGGGCGUAAAGAGCUCGUAGGCGGUCUGUCGCGUCGGUCGUGAAAACUUGGGGCUUAACCCUGAGCUUGCGGUCGAUACGGGCAUGACUGGAGUUCGGUAGGGGAGACUGGAAUUCCUGGCGUAGCGGUGAAAUGCGCAGAUAUCAGGAGGAACACCGGUGGCGAAGGCGGGUCUCUGGGCCGAUACUGACGCUGAGGAGCGAAAGCGUGGGGAGCGAACAGG
This 254-nucleotide ribosomal RNA is filed under the name uncultured bacterium. Its description in RNAcentral is "partial 16S ribosomal RNA". It matches the Rfam family "Bacterial small subunit ribosomal RNA", at positions 524 to 776 of the family's 1533-position model. The record is from RNAcentral.